GGCUUUAUAGUCAAAAAAUGAUGUUAAAUUGCAAGUUUAAAGUUGGGAUAACCCUAAGGCUU
This 62-nucleotide transfer RNA is filed under the name Ocypus ophthalmicus. RNAcentral's name for it is "tRNA-Cys". Lineage: Eukaryota; Metazoa; Arthropoda; Insecta; Coleoptera; Staphylinidae. The record is from RNAcentral.